GGCGCCUGCGUCGAGAGGCUCAGGAGGCCACCCUCUCAAGGUGGAGACCGUGGGUUCGACUCCCGCAGGCACCGCCA
This 77-nucleotide transfer RNA is filed under the name Chloroflexota bacterium. RNAcentral describes it as "Chloroflexi bacterium (sediment metagenome) tRNA-Glu". It matches the Rfam family "tRNA". Rfam says of the family: Transfer RNA (tRNA) molecules are approximately 80 nucleotides in length. Their secondary structure includes four short double-helical elements and three loops (D, anti-codon, and T loops). Lineage: Bacteria; Bacillati; Chloroflexota. The record is from RNAcentral.